Molecule: non-coding RNA, 6883 nt
Organism: Anas platyrhynchos (mallard)
Lineage: Eukaryota; Metazoa; Chordata; Aves; Anseriformes; Anatidae
Source: RefSeq, a predicted model, not a curated record
CUUAACCUUUAGCGUCUCUGCUUUGCUUCCCUUCAAAGCCUCCUGCUUUGAUUUCCCGUUCACAGUUGUCAUUCUGGCAGCCCCUGGAAGAAAGGAGAAGCAUACGAGGGUUAAAGAACAGCUGCGGGAACAUAAUUAAUGCUUUGCAACAUUUCUGAAGGCCUUUAGCACCUUGCCGUGACCCAGCCUGUAACAUCUGUGCGUUGGCAGCAGCCAAGCUGUAAAACUUCCCCCCUCCAAGUCCUGCACAAAGCAACUGUCGCCUGCCCGAGGCGUGCAAUCAGGGCAAAAAACUUAACAAAUCAGUGGAGGAGGCAGGCUGCCGCGCAGAUGGCAGGUCCUUCGGCGCUGGGAUUGGCAGUGGGAAGGAGCUUCCAGCUGCUGGUCCUCGUAGUUGUCCAAGGGGGAGGUGGGAAAGCUCUGCUUUUGUAGGGAUUUGGUGGUAGAAAUGGGACAUGUUGCUCCAAAUCUGGGAGCAACAGCAGCCCUCCCGCUUGCUUUUACCCGCUGAAGGGCUCUGGGCAGAAGGCAGUGCCCGAGCCCUGCCCGGAGCUGUCGGGUGGCUGCAAGCUGUCACGGACCCCGAGGGAUGCUGUGAGCAUCCCGUCUGGAUCGCGAUCUACCAAGGUCUGUCUUUCACGGUACCUUUCCUGUUACAUGGCUAAAAGGCACCUUCAGGGCUUGUCACCCUCCUUUUUACGGGAGCCACAACUCAGUAUAAAGAAGACACAGAAGUGGCUCCGGUUCUCGAGAGCUCCAGCUGGAGUUUGCCUUUCAGUCCCAGCACACAAGUCACAGCUGGCGCCACCCUGGUGACCAAAGGGAAGAUGAACAAAAACACUUUCUGUUUUUAAGGAUUAACCUCUCCUGCCAUAUGUCCAUUUUCCUCCUUGUUUCGCUGCGGCCAGCCCUGCUGAGCUCCCAACCUUCAAAGCCCAUCAAAUGCAGCUGGAGGGGAGCGAGCCUGCCAAGGGGAGGUGUUCGUCCUUUGCUCGUUGUGGAUUUCUGAGAGGCCUGUGACUGCACUGAAUGCCAAGCAGCCCUGACCUUCACCUGACUGGGGCUCCCAGCUGCUGCUGUGUUGUUACAGCAUCUCUGCCUGAUACGGAUUCAGCUUGGCUCCUCGGACCUGGGUAUUUUAUCUGACAAAUGGGCCUCAUUUCUGAUUCUAGCCUCCGUUUGAUGGGCCAGACUGUCUGCUACCUGGGAGAGGUUCAUAGAUCUGCAAGGCCGGAAGGAAGCAUUACAUUCCUCUCCUUUGCCUCCUAUUAAGAAUGUGCCAGAGACACUAAUCCAGCAUUUGAAUUUCAGCCAGGUAGCUGGAAGGGCUGUGGCUCAGCACCCUGCUCUGAUGGACUAUCCAGCACUGCUGCUCUUCACGCCUUCCUCUGCUGCUCUCGCCUUGGGCAGGAGGGAGGUGUCACGGGAGAGAGGAGCUUUCUUGAAAGAAAUCUCUUUCUUCACAAGUCAGAUGAGGAUGGCUUUCUGCGUGCCGAUGAAAUUUCUCCCCUUCAGAAGAAAAUGUGGUUGGUUUUGCAGUCUGCUCCCUCCUGGUAAUGAAAGCGAGGGGUUACUUCGGUGACAGCAGCAGGGGAAUUAGGGCUUACGCUCUGAGUGACAGCGUUUCGGUACAUCGCAGACACCUUUGUGUAAGCAAUGCAUCAGCCACAUGUCCACAUAGGCUAGCUGCCCCCCACAAGCUGUACGGCUUUCCUCCACCCCGGGCACCUUUGGGGCCGAUCUGUGGUUUUGCAGAGAGGUGUGUGUGACUCCAUGCCUGCUGCCACGCACUUACCCUCCUCUGUGGAGAAGAUUACUGGCUCGUUGGGAUGCAGCUUGGCUCUGCUUUCAUUUCUGGUGCUGUAUUAUUUUUCCUUUGGUUGGCAUUUGCAGGUAGGCAUUUUUAUUUUUUUAUUUUUUUUUCUGAUGGUAGUACGUUAGGGUCAUAAUUUAUGACCAGCUCCUCUUGCUGGAUGCUGUGCAGUCACUUCCUUGUCUCACCCUACAGACAGUAUAUUUAAGAGGACUGGAGGAAGCUACGCAGCAUUAUUUUAGCCUGGGAGUUGCAGCUGCAGUAGAAAUUGCCUUGCACUGAUGUUCAGUCCAGUCUCAGGCGUGUCCAAACCAUGCUGGUUGGAAAAUAGCAGGUUGCUGCAGGCUGCAUGAUGGUGAGAAGAGAGCAUAACCAUGGAGGAAGGGAAGCUGAAGGUUGGCCUGGAGCAAGGGGAAAACCUUUAGGCCCUGCAGCCAUGCCAGAAAUAAAUGGGAGAGGAGGGCCAGGAGUGUCGCCACCACUGGAUAAAUCACCUAGGACCCUGAGAGCAGUUUAUCCAGAAGCAAUCUCCUCCAGAAGCAAGCACGAGCCCAAGGAGUGCCAGAGCUCCCCAGUCAUCCCAGCAAGAAAGGGUCUGGAAUGGGGAAAGAGAAGGGAUGCAGGAGGGAACAGGGCAGUGGAUUAAUAAGUUAUGCACAGCAGAUUGCCACGGCUCCUUUUCUUGGUCUUAUCCCCCUCAACUCCAACACAGUGAUUUUAAAAAGAAAACGAGUGCCAAGAUUAUAUGCGGAACAUACACAAACCCCCGAGCGUUCUGCGAGGAAACUGCUCUUUUCUCCCAGGAAUAUUCUUUCUCCCUGUGCAAACGCAUAUGUUCUGGGCAAAUUCCAUUACAGAUAUUUUGUGGUGAAGGUCCUGAAAUAUCACCGUCUGAAGGAGAGCCUAUUUCAUAUUUGCACCCGAAUUUCUUCUCAUAUGGCUAAAACAACGCCACGUUUCCAGCCAAUUCUCCCGAAGCAAGGAAGCAUUACAUUCCUCUCCUUUGCCUCCUAUUAGCAGGGUUUCCAGAGGCUCUGCAGCUCCCACUGACGUGAGCAGGGCAGAGCAACUCUGAAAAUUAGAUGUGAGAGCUCUCCAAAGAGCGCAGCCCUCUGUUUGCUUUGCUGCUCUUCCAGGGCACAGUGCGAGGCCCCAGACACGAGACCCAGCGUGUUUGCUAUGUGCGGUGAUGCUUUAGGGCUUCCUGUCUGUUUUAUAGCCCUCUGCGGUGGGAUUCUCAAACCAGCAGUUCACUGGUUGAUGGGAUGAUGGGGACCUGACCUGGGCACUCGUGCUUUUGGGUGGUGGUCGUCCCCUUGGAUUGCUAGGCAUAAAUCUCCCCGAGGUUACAGGCGGAGAUGAAUACAUCAGCGAGGCCCCGGCCAUGGAGUCAGAGCAAGCAUCAGGGGAAUUGCUUGCAUGCUUGCUUGAGGUCCCAGUGCUGUGGCAGGGUGCAAAGGACCAGUUAAUCAAGCUGGAGGACUGAGGUGCCCCCCGGCUGUUCUGCAGUUGUCACCUGGCAGUCAGACAAGCGCUGCUCCGACAGCCCCACGUGGAUGCACACGGAUGGGGUUGUUGGCGGUGGAUUAAACAGCAGAGCCUUGUUCUCUGCUCCAUGCCCCUACAAACUGGGACCGAGUCCUCAAAAUCACCGUUUACCUACGUGUGGCAGGAGGGAAAACCAGGGUUGUCGAAUAAAAUGGAACAGACCAGUCAAGUAAUUUAAUUCUUAAAUCUUGUCUCCCUCAGGCUAAUCUCCAAGCCGCUCUUUGCUCAGGUCAACUGCUUUUAAUUAGCAAGCUUCAUUGAUCAGGGCAGGAGUGGGAGCUGGUGGGUUGCUGUCCAGACCUUUUUAAUUUAGAGGCUUUUCUCUCUUGCUGGAGGGAUGGUGAUACCCAGAGAGGGACCUGGCAGGAAGACCCCGGAAUUGUUUGAAGGAGGCUGACCUGCUGCUGCCUUUACCGCAUCUCUGCUGGCAGUGUCAGGUGUUGGCUAAUUGUCAGGUGGGGAAAGGGGAAUAAAAAAAAAGAUAAUCCUGAAAGCAGGCUGUGGUGACACUGGGAGUUACUACGUGCCUGUGUGUGUUAUUGCUGUAAGGCUGCUGCACAACCCAGGGAAAGGGGAGACCCCCAGCUCCAGAAGCUGCUCUUCUCCUCUCUGCCCAGCAGCACGGGGGGACCUUUGGGACAGGGGGUGGAUGAUGCCUGUUCCCUGCCUUGUGGAGGGGCUGCUGCAGCCUGGCAGGCUCCUACCAUGGCUUGUCAGCCUCUUGCAGUGGCUCUCUCCGAGCUGGUACCACGGAGGAUGGUGCUCACCAUGCGAACGUGCCUUUGGGCAAGGGAGGUGGGAGUGCUCGUUGGCUUCUCUGGCUGCUGCUUCCUUAGGAAACAAAGUUAAAACAGUUCGACAGCUAAAAAAAGGCACCUCCCGAAGGAAGACACUUCAUUACUCCUUCUUCCUAUAAAUGGAAACAGCUAUAAACCUGAUAGCAGUCCUUUUUCACCAGAGGUGGCUGGACCCCAGGCUGGAUGUGGGACACGAACCUCCAGAAGAGGUGGAACACGAGGACGUGGGUGCACCAGCACCUCCCUUCUCUGCUGGGUUCGCUCCUGGUUCGUCUGCCCCACAGCCCGGGAAACAUCCUACAUUUGAGAUGAGCCUCCAGGGGGUUGUGUGAUGACUGUAGGUGGGAAUCUCAGGGCCGUGCUGCGUGGUUGCUGGGUCAUUGCUUGCUCUGCCUCUCCUGCAGUUCGCAGUUAAAGAAAAUCCAUCUGAGUAACACGUUUCCUGGUUUAUGUAUUUGAUCAGCUAAGCUAUGAAAAUUCUGAAAUGAAGUUCUCUCAGGUAAAUCAAACAGAAAGGAAGUGGCUUUGUAUCAAACUAUUGAAUUAAUAGAAUUAUCGUAUUGAUUAAAUCAUCAAAUUAGCCUGCAGCUCCUCUAUCUGCUUUACGUUGUCGUUUGGGAAAGCAGCCGCCUGCCUGGUUGAGCUCGCAGUCCCUGAAGCACCGAUCUCGAUGCCAGCUGCUCCCUUUGUAUUCCAGGCAGAGAGCUGGGCCUUGCAAAGGCUGCAGCCAUCUCUGGCUGAAUCUCGCACGGAGAGCAGGGCUCCGGUGCCCAUUACAGCUGUCAGCCAAAAUUAUACCCAUUUGGGUAAGAGGUGAUCUCUCACACAUCCCCUCCAACGUGAAUCACUGAGCCUGAGCUGGCAUUACGCAGCCUGAUACACUCCAAAUUACGGAAGGAAAACGUCGGUGAGUCAUGGCUUCUUGGGGUUAAGCGUGCCCCAGGAGCACGCUCGCCUCUCUCGCGGGCAAAGGGCUGCAGCACCAGCUGCCUUCAGAGCUGGGAGGUGCUCCUGAAAUGUCUUCUGCAAUACAUCAGGUGGCUCUUUCUUUGUGACAGGCUUCCCCUUCUUGCAUCUUGAGAGGGAGGCGUGUGAGGGAAUAGGUGUCAUUAAUAAAUGCUAACAUGGGAGGACUUGGGGAAACCUCAGUGGACUGAGAUUUAUGUGGAGCGGCCGAGGCAUGGCUCUGCUGCAAGUAAUUGCAACCAACGGCUUCAGUUGCUCAGCUGCUUCACGUCUCGGACUUGUUAGCUGGCCUGUCAGCUGUGAGACCCUGCCGGCUGGGUGCUUUUUGGUUGCUGGCCAAAACAGGGAGAGGAACCAGCUACGCGGGAAAGGUGGCAGAGCCUAAGGUGGAGCCAGGCUGCUGCAAUGGCAGCGAGAGCGGAGGCACUGGUUUGUAAAAGGGGUCAAACUGUAAUGUCUGAUUUUCAGUGAGUCCAUCAGAAGCACGGAUGUUGCCCUGUGAUCCAUCAUCUCUCCCCAAGUGACCAUCCAUGAGUGUUCAUCCUCCCCAUGAUCGUCUCAAUAUCUGCUCUCACUGCUCUGCAGCUUUGGGCUGACAACAGUGAAGACUGACUCAUCCCCAGCACUGCUAUUUGAGUGUGAGUUUAGCCUCCCAUUGUACUGUAAAAAGAGAAAAGAAAAAAAAAAAAAACGGACCAGUUCAUGAAGAGGGCUGUAUUGUUCCUUCCAGCCUUGGCUUGCUGUCGGUGGCUCGGAUGCUAACAGGAUCACCAGCCUCUCCGAAAACUCCCUCCCGGUGUGCCCCAGUGGGGGAGAAGCAAUAAAACAAGAGGCAUGAUCCGGGCUUGGCUUUCUGCUGUGCUCAAACUUUUCUAUGGUCCCUCCUUCUUCAGGAAACAGUCGGUCUGCAGGUGAGGCGUGAAAUGCUUCCACUGAACAAAUUGAAAGAGACUGCCUCAGCAGGGGAGGGAUUUGAAUAACCUUGUGCUUAUAUCACUUUUUGGGGGGAGGUUUUCAGACUUCUUUGGAUGCAGAUUUCCCAGGGGUGAUGCUUUUCGCCCUGCAUGUAAUUUUUUUUUUUAUUUGUGUGUGUGUGUGUGUGUGUGUGUGUUGGCAAGCUGCCCUUCAUGCUGCGUGUUGCUUGAGAUGAAAAGCCGGAGCGGAGCACGUUCCUAACACUUAGGAAAGCAGCUGUGUCAUCAGAUUCACCUUGAAGUGCUGGCAAACAGCUCGCAGGGGCCAGCACCCUCGUUACCCUGCCUUGUCAGCGCCGCAAUCUGCAUAGGUGGGGGAGGCCACGGCCUCCCUUGCCGAUGGAGGAAGCAGCAAGAGGAGGCUGAGAGGGCUGAAGACACAAAGGAAGAAUGGUUUGGCCCCGGCCUCAAAUUUGGGAAGUCCUGAGGCUGAGAUUGCACGCUGUGCUCGUGUCCCCUCUGGGCAGCACCAUUUCUCUGGGUUCCCUCCUGGAGAGCUGUCAAGGCCCUGCUGGUGGCAGCCCCCAGCUGGCGGGACCUUGCUGUUGUCCGCAAGGAUUUGCCUUCCCCUGUUGUUGUCGUGCUGUGCUGGUGCCUCCCUGCGCCCCUCACGGCGGGCAGAUACCUUCAUGUGGAGUGCCUAAUGUCUAGAGACAAGUGGAUGGCGAUGGCUGAAGGGACAGCUGCUUGAAAAUGUGUGCACGUCAGGGACUGUCAGAGCAUCUGUGACCUGUGUAGCUGGCAUUAGGGUCAAGCUUUCUGGCUGUGCGCCAGCAAAGCACUGA